GUUGUGGUUAAAAAGCUCGUAGUUGGAUCUCAACAGCCUUGAAGCGGUUAACUUUGUAGUUUUACUGCUUUAUAGGCUGUGCUUUUGCUGGAGGUUUAGGGGUGCUCUUGAUCGAGUGUCUCUGGAUGCCAGCAGGUUUACUUUGAAAAAAUUAGAGUGCUCAAAGCAGGCUAAAAUGCCUGAAUAUUCGUGCAUGGAAUAAUAGAAUAGGAUGUCGAUCCUAUUUUGUUGGUUUUCGGGACUCGACAUAAUGAUAAAUAGGGACAGUCGGGGGCAUUUGUAUUCAAACGACAGAGGUGAAAUUCUUGGACCGUUUGAAGACAAACUACUGCGAAAGCAUUUGCCAAGAAUGUUUUCAUUAAUCAAGAACGAAAGUUAGAGGUUCGAAGGCGAUUAGAUACCGCCCUAGUUCUAACCAUAAACGAUGCCAGCUAGCGAUCUGCCUGCGUUUUUACCGUAGACUGGGCAGGAAGCUUCCGGGAAACCAAAGCAUUUGGGUUCCAGGGGAAGUAUGGUUGCAAAGCUGAAACUUAAAGGAAUUGACGGAAGGGCACCACCAGGAGUGGAGCCUGUGGCUUA
Molecule: ribosomal RNA, 579 nt
Filed under: uncultured marine eukaryote
Lineage: Eukaryota
Description: SSU rRNA
Rfam family: Eukaryotic small subunit ribosomal RNA
Source: RNAcentral